GUAGUUAGCCGGAGCUUCCUCGAAGGGUACCGUCUUCUUCUCGUCCCCUUCAACAGAGGUUUACGACCCGAAAGCCUUCUUCCCUCACGCGGCGUUGCUGGGUCAGGCUUUCGCCCAUUGCCCAAUAUUCCCCACUGCUGCCUCCCGUAGGAGUCUGGACCGUUUCUCAGUUCCAAUGUGGCCGGUCAUCCUCUCAGAUCGGCUACCCAUCGUUGACUUGGUGGGCCGUUACCUCACCAACUAUCUAAUGGGACGCGAGUUCACCCUUCCGCGGAUUUCUCCUUUGACCUCAAAACCAUGCGGUUCCGUGGUCUUAUGCGGUAUUAGCAACUGUUUCCAGUUGUUAUCCCCCUCGAAAGGACAGAUUCCUCACGCGUUACGCACCCGUCCGCCACUACCAUCGCUUCCAUUGCUUUCCACGAUGACCGUUCGACUUGCAUGUGUUAAGCACGCCGCCACGCGUCGUCCUCGAGCACUGAUACAACUACUGA
RNAcentral lists this ribosomal RNA (491 nucleotides) under uncultured bacterium. RNAcentral's name for it is "partial 16S ribosomal RNA". The record is from RNAcentral.